RNAcentral lists this non-coding RNA (27 nucleotides) under Rattus norvegicus (Norway rat). The record is from RNAcentral. Lineage: Eukaryota; Metazoa; Chordata; Mammalia; Rodentia; Muridae.
UGUAAGAAGCUUAGCCCAUGCGGGGAG